UAAAGACACCCUGUGCCAGUGUGUGUGGCGGGCAGGCGGGUCACGCGGCCACUUCCCCUGAAUGGCUCCAAUGUGCUCCUCUCCAGGAUCCCUGUCCCCAGGGGAAGAGGGAGGCCGGGCCUGAAUGGCCCAGUGUCCUCCACUCAGGGAGGAGAAGCCUCCCAGCAUUCACCGGGGAACUCCCCGCCGGUGAGAAAGCAGCUCUCAGGGAAGGUGGGGGAGGGUGGCAAGGAGCAGGUGCAUCGCAUCGCAGCCAUCUACCCCGGAGAUCGGCUGGCCGUUGCGAAGGUCUGCUAACUACGGAGACAGCCAGAGAGCCCGAGCGGUGGAGACAGCCAGAGAGCCCGAGCGGUGGCGACAGCCCUCACCGCGGCCCGGGUUGGGAUCCUGAUGUGGCUUCUCCCAGGCCAGGCCAGGAGAGCUGACUGAUGAAGUUAAAGACUGCAGCCCUCUUUGCCCAGGUCUGCUCCAAGGGUGCCGAUUCAUCUGAAUUAGAGCCAGGAAAGGAUGCGGCCAAAUUGCCUCUUUUAAAGCUAAAUAAAUGAAAAUGUAAAGAAGGUAAGUGACUCGUCCAAGGUGGCUAUCUAAGUCUUUUUUCCUGUCACUGUAACAAAAUGCCACAGACUGGUCAUUUAUAAAGGCAAGAAGUUUAUUUAGCUUGCAUUUCAAGAGGCCUGAAGUCCACACCUGACAAG
Molecule: long non-coding RNA, 695 nt
Filed under: Chinchilla lanigera (long-tailed chinchilla)
Lineage: Eukaryota; Metazoa; Chordata; Mammalia; Rodentia; Chinchillidae
Description: lncRNA (ENSCLAG00000027712.1)
Source: RNAcentral